This 249-nucleotide long non-coding RNA is filed under the name Elaeis guineensis (African oil palm). RNAcentral's name for it is "long non-coding RNA (EGUI_LNC060629)". Lineage: Eukaryota; Viridiplantae; Streptophyta; Magnoliopsida; Arecales; Arecaceae. The record is from RNAcentral.
UCAGGUUAUCAUUGCUAGAUGGUUACAUCAAUUGGUAUAGAAAGUUGUUCCUAUGCUACCAGCUUAGGUUCGAAUCUAUGGGUCACAUGCAUUAGAAGAUUUGGUUAGAUCGGAUGGCUAAAGAGUCUAAAUAGAUUGUGACUCUGGUGAAGAGUCCUACUCCGACUAGGACUCUAGGGGAAAGUCUCACUGGGACUAAAACUCUACUAUUUUUAGAGAAUUAAUUAGUACUUAGAUUAUUAAUUGACU